RNAcentral lists this ribosomal RNA (801 nucleotides) under uncultured bacterium. RNAcentral's name for it is "bacterial SSU rRNA". It matches the Rfam family "Bacterial small subunit ribosomal RNA", at positions 63 to 836 of the family's 1533-position model. The record is from RNAcentral.
CGUACGAGAAAUCCCGAGCUUGCUUGGGAGAGUAAAGUGGCGCACGGGUGAGUAACGCGUGGGUAACCCACCUUCGAAUUUGGGAUAACUCCGCGAAAGCGGUGCUAAUACCGGAUAAGACCACAGCCGUUUCGGCGGCAGAGGUAAAAGCUGACCUCUCCAUGGAAGUUAGCGUUCGAAGACGGGCCCGCGUCCUAUCAGCUUGUUGGUGGGGUAAAGGCCUACCAAGGCAGCGACGGGUAGCUGGUCUGAGAGGAUGAUCAGCCACACUGGAACUGGAACACGGUCCAGACUCCUACGGGAGGCAGCAGUGAGGAAUUUUGCGCAAUGGGGGAAACCCUGACGCAGCAACGCCGCGUGGGUGAAGAAGGCUUUCGGGUCGUAAAGCCCUGUCAGGUGGGAAGAAACUCUUCAGCACUAAUAAUGCUGAAGCCUGACGGUACCACCAGAGGAAGCACCGGCCAACUCCGUGCCAGCAGCCGCGGUAAUACGGAGGGUGCAAGCGUUGUUCGGAAUUAUUGGGCGUAAAGAGCGUGUAGGCGGCUUGGUAAGUCAGAUGUGAAAGCCCUGGGCUCAACCCAGGAAGUGCAUUUGAAACUACCAGACUUGAGUACGGGAGAGGAGGGGGGAAUUCCCGGUGUAGAGGUGAAAUUCGUAGAUAUCGGGAGGAAUACCGGUGGCGAAGGCGCCCCUCUGGACCGAUACUGACGCUGAGACGCGAAAGCGUGGGGAGCAAACAGGAUUAGAUACCCUGGUAGUCCACGCCGUAAACGAUGAGCACUAUGUGUAGCGGGUAUUGAC